Molecule: transfer RNA, 88 nt
Filed under: Lentinula boryana
Lineage: Eukaryota; Fungi; Basidiomycota; Agaricomycetes; Agaricales; Omphalotaceae
Also listed under: 2 other names
Description: tRNA-Tyr
Rfam family: tRNA
About the family: Transfer RNA (tRNA) molecules are approximately 80 nucleotides in length. Their secondary structure includes four short double-helical elements and three loops (D, anti-codon, and T loops). Further hydrogen bonds mediate the characteristic L-shaped molecular structure. tRNAs have two regions of fundamental functional importance: the anti-codon, which is responsible for specific mRNA codon recognition, and the 3' end, to which the tRNAs corresponding amino acid is attached (by aminoacyl-tRNA synthetases). tRNAs cope with the degeneracy of the genetic code in two manners: having more than one tRNA (with a specific anti-codon) for a particular amino acid; and 'wobble' base-pairing, i.e. permitting non-standard base-pairing at the 3rd anti-codon position.
Source: RNAcentral
CCGACCAUAGCUUAGUUGGUAGAGCACAAGACUGUAAAGGAUAACUUAUGUAAUCUUGGGAUCGCCUGUUCGAGUCAGGCUGGUCGGA